CCUACGGGAGGCAGCAGUAGGGAAUUUUCCACAAUGGUCGCAAGCCUGAUGGAGCAACACCGCGUGAGUGAAGAAGGGUUUCGGCUCGUAAAGCUCUGUUGUUGGAGAAGAACGUGCGUGAGAGUAACUGUUCACGCAGUGACGGUAUCCAACCAGAAAGUCACGGCUAACUACGUGCCAGCAGCCGCGGUAAUACGUAGGUGGCAAGCGUUAUCCGGUUUUAUUUGGUGUAAGGCGAGCGCAGGCGGUCGCUUAGGUUUGAUGUGAAAGCCUUCGGCUUAACCGAAGAAGUGCAUCGGAAACCGGGCGACGUGAGUGCAGAAGAGGACAGUGGAACUCCAUGUGUAGCGGUGGAAUGCGUAGAUAUAUGGAAGAACACCAGUGGCGAAGGCGGCUGGCUGGUCUGCAACUGACGCUGAGGCUCGAAAGCAUGGGUAGCGAACAGGAUUAGAUACCCGUGUAGUC
RNAcentral lists this ribosomal RNA (465 nucleotides) under uncultured bacterium. Its description in RNAcentral is "partial 16S ribosomal RNA". It matches the Rfam family "Bacterial small subunit ribosomal RNA", at positions 338 to 795 of the family's 1533-position model. The record is from RNAcentral.